RNAcentral lists this ribosomal RNA (253 nucleotides) under uncultured bacterium. RNAcentral's name for it is "partial 16S ribosomal RNA". It matches the Rfam family "Bacterial small subunit ribosomal RNA", at positions 524 to 776 of the family's 1533-position model. The record is from RNAcentral.
UACGAAGGGGGCUAGCGUUGUUCGGAAUUACUGGGCGUAAAGCGCGCGCAGGCGGUCUUCCAAGUCAGUGGUGAAAGCCCGGAGCUCAACUCCGGAAUUGCCAUUGAAACUGUGAGACUGGAGUACGAGAGAGGUGAGUGGAAUUCCCAGUGUAGAGGUGAAAUUCGUAGAUAUUGGGAAGAACACCAGUGGCGAAGGCGACUCACUGGCCCGAUACUUACGCUGAGGCGCGAAAGCGUGGGGAGCAAACAGG